Molecule: ribosomal RNA, 253 nt
Filed under: uncultured bacterium
Lineage: Bacteria
Description: partial 16S ribosomal RNA
Rfam family: Bacterial small subunit ribosomal RNA
Source: RNAcentral
UACGGGGGGGGCAAGCGUUGUUCGGAAUUACUGGGCGUAAAGGGCUCGUAGGCGGCCAACUAAGUCCGACGUGAAAUCCCCAGGCUUAACCUGGGAACUGCGUCGGAUACUGGAUGGCUUGAAUCCGGGAGAGGGAUGCGGAAUUCCAGGUGUAGCGGUGAAAUGCGUAGAUAUCUGGAGGAACACCGGUGGCGAAGGCGGCAUCCUGGACCGGCAUUGACGCUGAGACGCGAAAGCGUGGGGAGCGAACAGG